UGAAUUAAAGGCCUCAAAUUUCUGGAAUUCUAGUCUACCUUCUAGUUUGCUAGAAUAAAGUUUAUCCCAAUUGAUCCAAUGUAUCUUCCUUUCGCCACUCCUACUCCCCCAGUAAAAUUUUCUUAUCAUGGCAUCUAAGUGUUGGCAAAGUCCUUUGGGUAUUUAAAAGCAUCCCAUAAUGUAAGUAGGGAUUGAUUGUGCAAUUGCUUUUAUCAGUGUCUCCUUUCCUACUCUUGAGAGAUAUUUCUCCUUCCAUCCCUUGAGCUUCUUCCAAACUCUCUCCUGGAUAAAGUCAAAAACUUCCUUCUUGGAUCUUCCCACGAAAGUAGGCAAGCCCAAGUACUUCGAAUGUUGUUCCACCGCCUUUAUCCCUAACCAGUCUUGGAUAAGAUUUUGUCUGAUAGUAGGCACAUUUCGACUGAAGAAAAUUUUUGACUUAUCCAAAUUGAUUCUUUGGCCUGAAGCUGUCUAGUAUUGGAUGAGAACUUCCUUAAUACCCUGUAUGUCUUGAUCUGAUACUCUGGAGAACAAGAUGCUAUCAUCCGCAAAAAAUAGGUGGUUUAUCUAGGGAGCUUGUUGGGCAACUCUAAUACCUCUGAUAAUCUCACUAUUUUGGACCUUGAUUAGGAGUCCUGAGAGUAAUUCUGCACACAAAAUAAACAGCUAGGGAGAUAGUGAAUCUCCCUGCCUCAAACCCCGUGUUGGUAGAAACAGCUUACUUGGGAUUCCAUUAACCAGAAUUGAAAAAGUCACCGUCGAGACACAUCUUUGAUUAAAUUCACCCAUCUUUAUAAGAAACCCAUUGAUAUCAUGACCUCUUUCAAGAAGCACCACUCUAUUCUAUCAUAUGCCAUGGCCAUAUCUAAUUUGAUUCCGAUGUACCCUUUUUGGUCUGUCACCUUCUUCUUCAUGUAAUGAAAAAUUUCGAACGCUACCAAUCCAUUGUCAGUGAUUAUCCUACCAUGCACAAAGGCACUUUGAAACUUUCCAACAAUAUCCGGAAGGAUUUGUUUGAGUCUAUUUGCAAUAGUUUUGGUAACUAAUUUAAAAACAACAUUACAUAAAGAGAUGGGCCUAAAGUCUUUGGCAUAUCUAGGAUUUUUUAUUUUUGGAAUCAUACAAAUAUGUGUCGAAUUAAUAGGGGAGUGAUCAGCUUCAUGAUUUAGAAUAUUAAGCACAUAAUUAGUAAUAUCAUUACCGACAAUUCUCCACAUUUUUUGGUAAAAGAGCGCCGGCAUAUCAUCAGGUCCUGGUGCUUUGGUUGGGUGCAUCUGUUUGAGGGCUUGGGUUACUUCUUCAACAGUGAAAGGCUGAUCUAGGAAUUCUCUUUUCUCUGCAUCAACCCUAUUCUUCACUAUAUUAGCCGUUUGUCUUGCUUCUUUCACACCCUCUGACCUGAAAAUGUUAUCAAAAUACUCCACCAUCACCUCUUCAAUUUUCUCCUCCUCCUCAUGUGUUACUCCGGCUUCAUCCUUGAUGGCUUUCACCCAAUUCCUAUUCUUUCUUUGUUAAGCUUUUUGGUGAAAGAAUCUAGAGUUUUGGUCUCCAUGCCUAAGCCAAUUGGUUCGGGAUCUUUGAGCCCACCAAGUUUCUUUCUCCUUAAGUGCUUCGUCCAAAUUCGCUUUCACCUCUUUGAUUUGCAAGAUGACUCCUUCUUCCUGUUUUAUGGUGUUUAGGUGUUGGAGUUUGUUUUGUAGCUUUCUUAUCUUCGUUGGUAUGUCUCCAAAGAGCUUAUCCCUCCAUCUAUCUAACUCCUUCCUGCAGCAAGCUAUUCUUCCUUGUAUGGGUCCUUGCUCCCCUUUCCACACUUCUUCCACGAGUUUUUCACACUCUUCGUUGCUUAGCCAACAUUAUUCAAAUCUGAACCUGUGAAGAAUCUUCCUUCUUCGCCUUUUCUCACCCAUCAUAUCAAUUAAAAUAGGACUAUGGUCUGAUUUGUAUCUGCUGAGGUGUUGGACAAUUGUUUUCAAAAAGGUUUGUUUCUAUUCUAUAGUUGCCAAAGCCCUAUCUAACCUUUCUUGGAUAUUAUCUUCUCCUGAUUGGCCAUUUGUCCAUGUAAAUGAAUGGCCUACAAAGCCAAGAUCAAGCAAUUUAUUAAUUUGGACAGCAUCUCUGAAUCUCUGAACCUGCGAAUAAGUAAUCGGGUUCCCCCUUGCUUCUCCUCUUGUCCCAUGAUUUGGUUGAAAUCUCCGAACACUAUCCAUGCCAAAUUAGAGUCUCUCCCUAGCGACUUUAAGAGAUCCCAGCUAAUGUGUUUAUUUUCAUUCUCCGGCUUCCCAUAAAAUUCCGUUGCUCUCCACCUUUGCUCAUUUUCUACCACUUCCACCUCCAUAUCUAUGUGAUUGGUAGAUAAAGACCUGACUUCUACCUUGAUGGUGCUGUCCCAUAAAAUUGCUAGGCCUCCAGCUCUUUGUUUACCAUCACCCUCACAGUCCGCAGCCAUUAUAUUAGCCAUCCCUCCUUUAUACCUCAUUCUCAUCAUUUCUAUUUUUUUUCUCCUUGUCUCCAUAAGGAAAACAAGGUUGGGUCCUUGUUGUUUAAUGAGCUUUAUCAAAGCUCGGACUGCCCAUGGGUUCCCAAGCCCACGACAGUUCCAACUAAUCAUCUUCAUGGCCUUCGGCAGGGCUACUGAGCAGCCUCUGCCGUUAGAAGUAUGGGUUCUGCGUUGAUUUUUAUCAUCUUCACCUCAAUACUAUUAAUCUCCAUCUCCUCAGACUCUAGUGCCUUCCUCUUUUGUCCUUCAAAAUCUGCAUUUUCUUUUUCAUUUUUUGUUGUUGCUGCCAUUUGUCUUGCUUGCCUCUUCCAAGUUUUGUUUCCUUAUUUUAUUGUCUUCUUUGCUGUCUUUGUGCUGGUGACCUCUUCCAAGAGUGUUGGAAUAAACUCUCUUUCUUGCUCCUUAAUCUCUUUCUUUUUUGUUUCUUUCCUCUUUGCUUCUUCUUCUAUGUUCUCUGUGCUCUCUUUUUGUUCUGCUUUUUCUAGUACGGAUUCAGUGGCCAUCGUCCGUGGUGUGUUGCUGUUUUGUUUCACUAGUGUUAAAGGAAUUUCUUCUGUUCCUUCUUGUUCUAUUCUUGCUCUCUGUUCUGGAUUGUAUUGUAAUCGUUCUGCCUCCUUUCCCUUACUGUUAGAUGACUCUGGUAUAUCUAUCAUUGUUAAUCUCUCUAACUUUUCUAGCAUUCUUGCGGUAAGCCUUUGCUGGGAUAUUGUGUUUUUUUUUCCUUUCUUUCUUCCGAGUCUCUGUUUUGUUGAUUUUUCACUACUUUCACUAUGCUUCCUAUCAAAUCGGCUUUCAACCAGGACCCAGCUCUUUAGAUUUGUUCUCUCCCUUUUCCUUGUCAUCUAUUGCUUGUUGAAAAUUACUUUUCUCAUGCCCUAUCAGCCCGCAGUAGUAACAGAAGUUUGGCAGCUUUUCGUAUUUAAAAUCUGUCCAGAUCAACCCAUCUUCAUUGCUGCCAAUAUUCGUCCCUUUUAGGAUGGGUUUGUUUAUGUUAAGAGUUACUAUGGCUUUUAUGAAGCGCACUUGGUCUCUUGUGUUUUCAAAAACAUCACACUCUUUAACAACACCCAACGCAGAGGCUAUCUUCCUCUUCAGCACUCUAUUUAAGUCUGUCUCUUUUUUAAAAAAAAAUUAGUAGAUUUUUGUCUUUAACUCUACUAUUCUCAGACUUUCUGGUUUCUUCCAGAUAUUCUGCAUUCCAGAUUGUAUCCAUGCGCUGUUGAUUCUUUUUUUGGUCAGUAAUCUUUCUAUUAAGCUAUUUUUGCACUCUUGUAAGCCUUUUUUCACGUCUUCAUUGUUGAACACUACCAAGAAUUCUUCAUCCUCUUGGUCUUGGGUUGUGUUUUGUGUAUCUGGUAUGGUGUUUGUGUUUGACAUAUUGGCUGUGUUUGUUGGAACAGAAUCUCACCGAUUUUUGCUGCACAAUUACAGAAAAGCACGAUGUGUACGGAUGUUUUGUGCUACACCCCUUCAAACCCUAGGAGAGCAUUGAGUUAGGAGGAGAGAGGAUAGUCUCUUCUAUUCGCUAUCUUAAUAUUCAGCAAAUGAUUGCAAUAAAUUAGUCCUAUGGUAGAAAACCUGUGUUCACGGUAAAUUAUGCAAUUAUAUAUGUAUCCAGGGUAUGAGCCCAUAGUGGAAACAUGAGUUAGGUGCAUGGGCUUUCUCUCUUUUUGUCUUGGGUGCAUGGGCUUUCUUUAGAGAACGAAUACUAAUAAAUGGGCUCUCUUCAGAGGAAAAACAAGUCUACGAUUCAAAUCCUGCCACAGGGUUAAUUCGAGAAUAAAAUUUAGUGUCACUCAGGUCAUCGUUGACUUUUGUUUGAUUAUGAGAGAUGCAAAUACGGUAGCAGAUACUAUGGCAAAGAUGGCGAUGAAGUUAUAAUUUUCACAUGUGGAGCUUCUUUCACCUUGGGAAGAGUUUAAAAGUAGUCUUAAAUGGGACUGUCCCUCUAUCUAAGCAGUUCCUUGUUUUGUUUGUUUUAUUUUUUUUUGUUUAAUUUAUUUCAGUCAC
This is a non-coding RNA of Arachis ipaensis, 4504 nucleotides long. The record is from RefSeq and is a predicted model, not a curated record. Lineage: Eukaryota; Viridiplantae; Streptophyta; Magnoliopsida; Fabales; Fabaceae.